Molecule: ribosomal RNA, 254 nt
Filed under: uncultured bacterium
Lineage: Bacteria
Description: partial 16S ribosomal RNA
Rfam family: Bacterial small subunit ribosomal RNA
Source: RNAcentral
GACGAACCGUGCGAACGUUAUUCGGAAUCACUGGGCUUAAAGCGCGUGUAGGCGGGACGGCACGUCGGUCGCUGAAAUCCCCCGGCUUAACCGGGGAACUGGCGGCGAUACGACCGUCCUGGAGGGGCGUAGGGGGACCUGGAACUUCCGGUGGAGCGGUGAAAUGCGUUGAGAUCGGAAGGAACGCCCGUGGCGAAAGCGAGGUCCUGGACGCCUACUGACGCUGAGACGCGAAAGCCAGGGGAGCAAACGGG